AAAAUUAAAAAAAAAAAAAAAAAGAAUACAAGCAAGAAUAAAUGUUGGUGAAGAUGUGGGAGGAAAAGUUUCACUUAUACAUUGCUGGUGGGACUGCAAAUUGGUGCAGUGACUCUGGAAAGCUGUAUGGAGAUUCCUCAGAAAGCUUGUAAUGGAACCACCAUUUGAUCCAGUUAUCCCACUUCUUGGAAUAUACCCAAAAGAUUUAAAAUCAGCAUACUACAGUGACACAGCCAUUUCAAUGUUUAUAGCAGUAUAGUCCACAUUAGCUAAGCUGUGGAACCAGCCUGGGUUCCUUGAACAGGUGGAUAGAUAAAGAAAAUGUGGUAUAUGUACCCAAUGGAAUAUUACUCAUCCAUAGAGAAGAAUGAAUUUAUGGCAUUUGCUAGUAAAUGGCUGGAACUGGAGAAUAUCAUGCUAAGUGAAAUAAACAAGUACUAAGAAACCAAAGGUAGACUGUUCUCUCUGAUAUGUGGACGCUAGUCCACAAGGGAGGCGAAGAUUAGAAGUUCGUUGGACUAGACAAAGGGAAUUAGGUAAGGGAGUGGAGAGGGCAAAGGAAAGACAGUAGAAUGAAUAGCACCUAUCCUUCCUAUCCUUAAAUAUGAAUCCAUGACCAAUGUCACUCCACAUCGUGUGCAAGCACAACAAUGAGAUCCUAACUGGAACAAGUCAUACUUAUUCUAUGUAUGUAUAAUAUGUCAGAGUAAAAUCUACUGUCAUGCUUCCUUUCUUAUCCCUUCAGUCUUAUUCAUUAUAAUCACAUUUAGGUCUUCUAAAGUUUAAUAUUCUAUGGUGAUUUCUGAGUUCUGAAAUCUUAUGGUCUAACCUGUUUGCUACAUUCUUUUCAGUUACAUUGUCAAUUAUGACUUUCUCGGUGUAGCUGAGAUUUUGUUAAUUGUUCUUAGUUUUUUAAAAAAUAAACUUGAUUUCAUGUAAUUUGUAUGAUUUUUAUCUCUAUUUCUGUUCUGCUCUUUAUUUUUAUUCUACUAAAUUUGGGUUUGGUUUAUUCUUGUAUUUCUACUUCUGAACAGAGAACAUCUUGCUAUUCUCAUUUGUUACUUGUUUUUCUAAUGUUUUAAUUUUCUAAUGUUUUCUAAUGUUGUAGUUCAUUUCUUCCACUUUUAUUGUGUUCCUUCAUGGUUAAGUGAUUUUUCUCUCACAGUAUGUUUUGAUUCCUUGCUUGAGGCACAAUGAUAGGUUGUUUAAUUUGAGAGCUUUCUAUUUUUUUGAUAUUGGCAUUGAUUGAUGUAAUCUGUUUUUGAUUGAUUUUAUUAUUUUAAAAAAUACACAACAAUAGUGGAAUGCAUUACAAUCCUUAUUACACAUAUAGAGCACAAUUUUUCAUAUCUCUGUAUAUAAAGUAGUGCUCUCAUUUACCUCUAAGAAUUUUUUAUCUCCUCCUUGAUGUCUUCUGUAACCCAUUGUUCAUUCUCUAGUAUACUGUUCAGUCUCCAUUUGAUGCAGAAUUUUUUAUCCUAUUUUGUUGUUGAUUUCCAAUUUCAUUCCAUUAUGAUCUGAUAAAAUGCAUGGUAGUAUCUCUACUCCUUUGUAUUUGCUAAGAGUUGCCCUGUGGCAUAGUAUAUGGUCUGUUUUUGAGAAGGAUCCAUGUGAUGCUGAGAAGAAAGUGUAUCUGCUUGAUGUUGAUUGAUAUAUUCUAUAUAUGACAGUUAAGUCUAAGUUAUUGUGUUAUUGAAUUCUAUAGUUUUUUUAUUCAACUUUUCUUUGGAAGAUCUUUCCAGUGGUGAGAGAGGUGUGGUAACGUCACCCAAGAUUAUUGUGUUGUGUUCAAUUUGACUCUUGAAUUUGAGAAGAGUUUGUUUGAUGAAUAUAGCUGCACCAUUGUUUGGGGAAUAUAUAUUUAUGAUUGUUAUGUCUUAUUGGAAUAACAUUACAUACCGUUCCUUUGAGCAGUAUGUAAUGUCCAUCUUUAUCCCUUUUGAUUAACUUUGGCUUGAGGUCUACUUUAUUUGAUAUGAGUACAGAGACCCCUCCUUGUUUCCACCGUCCAUGUGAGUGGUAUGAUUUUUCCCAACCUUUCACCUUCAGACUGUGUAUGUCUUUUCCUAUCAAAUGAGUCUUCUGUAGGCAGCAUAUUGUUGUUGUUGUUUUUUAAUCCAAUAUGCUAGCCUAUGUCUUUUGAUUGGUGAGUUUAAGCCAUUAACAUUUAGGGCUACUAUUGAGACAUGGUUUGUAUUUCCAGUCAUAUUUGUUUAUUUUUGUCAUUUAACUUGACUUGGUUUUUCUCUUUGAUUAGUUUUUCUUUUAGUGCACUACCUCCCUCUGCUGGUUUUCAUUAUUAUUUUUCGUUUCCUCUUCAUGAAAUAUUUUGCCAAGGAUGUUUUUUAGUGCUGGUUUUCUAGCUCUAAAUUGUUUAACUUUUUUUUUUUUUUUAUUGUGGAAAGUUUUUAUUUCAUCUACAAAUCUGAAGCUUAGUUUUGCUGGAUACAAGAUUCUUGAUUGGAACCCAUUAUCUUUCAGAGUUUGAAAUAUGUUGUUCCAAGAUCUUCUAGCUUUCAGGGUCUGUGUUGAAAAAUCUGCCAUUAUCCUAAUUGGUUUACCCUUAUGUGUAAUCUGGAUCCUUUCUCUUGUGGCUUUUAAAAUUCUCUCCUUAUUCUGUAUGUUGGGCAUUUUCAUUAUAAUUUGUCUUAGUGUGGAUCUGUUGUGAUUUUGCACAUUUUGCAUCCUGUAGGCUUCUUGUAUUUGGAUUUCCAUUUCAUUCUUCAUGUCUGGAAAGUUUUCUGAUAUUAUUUCAUUGAACAGAUUGCUCAUUCCUUUGGUUUGGACCUCUAUGCCUUCCUCUAUCCCCAUAACUCUUAAAUUUGGUCUUUUUAUGCUAUCUCAUAUUUCUUAGAUGUUCUGCUUGUGGUUUCUUAUCAUUUUUGCUAUGCUGUCUACAUUCUUUUCAAGAUGAUAUACUUUGUCUUCAUUGAUGUCCUAUCUUCUAAGUUGUCUACUCUGCUGGUGAUGCUCUCAUUUUUGUUUUUAAUUUGGCUUAUUAUUUCUUUCAUUUCAAGGAUUUCUGCUUUUUUUUUUAAACCUCUGUCUCCCUGUAGAGGUGAUCUUUUGGUUUUGGAUUUGGUUAUGUAGCUUAUCGUCAAAGUGAUCUUUUACUGUCUGUAUUUGUUGUCUAAUGUCUUCUUUGAGAUUCCAAAACAUCUGAAUCAUGUGAAUCCUGAAAUCUUUCUCUGUCAUUUUUUUCUGCUGUUUCUGUUAAUUCUUCUAAUGAUGUGUUGUCUUGAAUUGUUUGUGGUACUUUCUUCCCUUGUCUUUUCAUGUUGCUCACAUUUCUUUCCCGCUCUGUGGGACUGAUGUGUUGUUGUGUUUACCCUAUAGAUUUGUAGUGCUCUUGUGUAGUUCCAAGAUCCCUCCUUUGUGAGGAAGGACAAUGUUGACAUUUCCCAAUAUCAACAAUACAUCACCUAUGAGUAAAUUAUUGUUAUUAAGACAUUUAUAGUUAGUCUCAUUGUCU
This 3472-nucleotide long non-coding RNA is filed under the name Marmota monax (woodchuck). The record is from RNAcentral. Lineage: Eukaryota; Metazoa; Chordata; Mammalia; Rodentia; Sciuridae.